GGAAACUUUUACUGUAUUUUAUAAAAACGUGGUGUCUUUGAAAACAGUUACCUUUUGAAAACCCGUCUUUUUCUACAACUAGUAGUUUACAUCAAACUAACUAAAUAAAAACCCCAAUUUAAAGUUUAUAACCUUAAAGAGGCCUUUUUACAUAAAAAUACCCAAAUCCAGUUACUUAUAAAUCAGAAGCUAAAAGCGAAAGCUGAAGCGGUUGUAUGGCCAUCAUCGAGUCCCUCGCAGCACCGACUCACCUACAACUGGGAAUUACAUGUACAAUUAGACAGAGGGGUGAGUUUACGAAAACUCAGUGUGUAAUCCCCUAACAAGUAAACCGUCAAUAAAACAUUAGAUAAAUGCAGUUUGGGCCUGAGCCCGUUACAGUAAUAGUCUAGUUCAGUGUGGGCCUAAGCCCUUUCUCGUAACAGUAAAUGAUUAGGCUUGAGCCCAUCACAAUGCUAGUAAUCAGUAGGCUUUUGCCCAACUUUAGUAAUAGUAUCAGUGGGGCCUUGGCCCACAACAGUAACAAAUAUCAUUUAUGCAGUGAACAGUAUGUAAUAUCAUUAAUCGAUGUACUAACAAUACAAUAUCAUUAAUCAGUGCAGAUAUGCAAUUAGAAGUCCUACCCAAUAUAGCCAUUAGUAGGUCCACAGUCAUCUUGGGCGACCUGUGUAACCUUAUCAGUACGGUCAUUUUACCCUAUGGGGGUAUUUUGGUCAUUUUACCCUACGAGGGUAUUUCGGUCAUUUUACCCUAUGGGGGUAUUUUAAUCAGUUUACACUAUAGGGGUAUUUCAGUUAUUUUACCCUAUGGGGGUAUUUCGGUCAUUUUACCCUAUGGAGGUAUUUUGGUAAUUUUACCCUAUUGGGGUAUUUCAAUCAUUUUACCCUAUGGAGGUAUUUCGGUCAUUCUACCCUAUAAGGGUAUUUUGGUCAUUUUACCUAUUUUGGGGUUUUGAUGCAGAUAUCGACCUCUCAAAAGGUCCGCAGUCACCUCGAGCGACUCAGGUAACAUAAAAGGUCACAACAGUGAAAAUGGGCCCAAGGCCUAUUGCACGAUCCAAGUGUGCCCACACGCUUGUGCGGCCCGAUCAGCCCAAAUUUGCCACGGAAAUGAGAUCUACUUAGCCCCGUCCAGUAUUUGCCACAAAUCGUGGAUUUCAUCUAUGUGGGGCCCACAAGCCCAAUGAGCCCACAUGGCCCAUUUCGGCCCAACGUGGCCUAUAACGGCCUAAGCCCAUGGAAAUGCUCAUAGAGGCCUCUACAGUUUAUCACCCAUGAUUGGCAGGUUUGGCUUUCCACACGAGCGAUCGCACACUCGUGUGGUCUCAACGUCGUAUUUCAGCUUUUCGGCUUUUGCCAUUCUACAGUUACAGUGGGGUGGUUACACACCUGAUGCGAUUUGCAGAUUCCCUUUGUUCUGAACACUCUUAUUAGGAAAAUCAAUGAUCAUCGCACCCUUGGUUCUCAGGCAAUGUGCCAAUCAACCUCGAUCACCACCAGUUAGGAAUGGAAGCAAUGUAAGUUGGAGAAAGCGACGAAAACCUUGAAAACCUCACCGAUCUCCUACCGAGAACAAGGAACAAAUGAGAUGAUAUAUAUAGCUCUCCACAACAACAACCUCCUCAAAUCCCAAUAUCCCUCCUCAAUUAUCCUCAAAUCCCAAUAUCCCUCCUUAAUUAUCUCUAUAACCAGUUCAAACUCCAUUUACCAGUAUUUCAAUCCAACUCUACCACCCACACGAACUAAGCAGCAAAAUAAAUACCCCUUUUUUGAUGCGCCACCACUUGAACCUUAGACCCCAUGUACACUCCACACACCCCUUACCACUAGACCAACAACUCCUUUGUAUCAUAUUUUAACCAUAAUAGUUUAAGAACCUACUAUUUAGAUCCAAGGAUUUUAUUCAUUUAAAAUAAAAUUUUUUUUUGCAUAACCAAGGCUUGAACCCCUGACUUCUUAAACACUUCCAAACACUCCUAAAUCACUUAACCACUGAAACAGACAUUCACUUAUGUCACUUCCUUGCACAACUAAAUAUUUAUGUGCAGUCUCCUAACUGUUCCCCUGUUCAAAACCUAUUUCUUCUAGGCCCAAAAUUCAGGGUGUUACAUUAAGCUUAUGUAUAAUUUAAAUGCAUGAGAUAUUUGUUAUAUUGUGUAUUGAAAAGGGUGCAACUUAUGCACAAUGAAAAUCUGUAAAAUAUGUAAAAUUGAACGAUAUCGAUUGAUACCAACACAAUAGUAAUUUAAAAGAUUGGAACACUAUUUCCAUUUAUUGAAAGCAUGUGAUUAUUGUGGACAUGCCGCUCAUAUUGAAUGAAUGUGAAAAGUCUUAAGAUAUGAUUAUAUAUGAGAUUGUGUGACAUAUUGCAUAUGCAUUGGGUUGGAAUUUUGUGGUUCAUAGAAGAGUUUCAUGGAGUACCGACAACAUAUUAAGCCCGUAUUAUUCGUAGUCAGUGCACUGUACAUGGAGUACCAAGGGGAAUGGCAAUUUAUCGCAUUUUUACUGGUAGCUUGUCUGCAUUUUUACUUGUAGAAUUUUUUGCAUAUUGUUAUCGGUGUCAUGCUCACGACAUAUUCAAAUGUUAUUGAUUUGUGAUAUGUGUUGUAUUGUGUUGUAUUGAAUGGUAUUGAAAUUAAUGAUUGUUACUCAAAUGAAUGAUGCCCCAUGCUCAUACACCAUUUGACAUUAAUUUGAUAAUGGCUAUGUAAGAUAUGAAAUUCCUAUGAUGGUUCUGUUUUCUUCCGUUAAUGCUAAUAUAUUUCACUGUAUUUUAUGCUUUUUCCCGUUUAAAUAAUUGUUCGACUCACACUAAGCUUUUCAUAAGAUUACCCCCAAUAGUGUUUAACUUUUCAGGUAAACCUCGAAAUUAGGACCGAACUCGACAUUUGGAGAAUCACCUUGGCCCUGGGACUAUUUUUAAUAAAUAUUAAUCAGUCUCUAUUAGUUUUGGUUUGUAACUUUUAAUUAUUUUUAGUCCAUGGCUUGGUAACUUUUCUUUUGGGGAUUUUUGCAUGCAUGGAUUACUCAAGCAUAAUAAUCAAAUAAUGCAUGAUAUCGGGCUUAAGAAAAAUUUGAUAUUGCUCCCUAGUUUCCUCAGCAUAUUUUCUUCCAGGUAUUUGAUUUUAUUUUCUUGUCUUGACUUUUUAUUUUUUGUGUUUCUAGCUACUACUUCAUUAUCAAUACUUAUUCCAAAGUUAAGUGUUAAAUUUCUAUUCUAGCAUAAUAUUUGUAAUCUUGUAAGUUCUAAUCAACUUCUCUGUGGAUCGACCUCAGACUCUUGAGAUUUUAUUACUUGAAUAUAACCUAACUUGGGUUGUAGAACUAGAAAUUCACUAUCAAGUUUUUGGCACCGUUGCCGAGGAAGUUAAGAUUUAGGUUACAAGUUUAUAAGUAUCAUUUUUUAUGUACAUAUAUUUGGCUUGUUCUACCGUCUAAUUUGUUUAUGCAUAUUUGGCAUGGCGAUUUUAAUUCUCGUCAUUUAGUUAGAAAAAUUGUGAAACCUUUUUUGGUAAUUUGAUUGAGACACCUCCACAUUCUCCAAUCAUGGAUGAGAUUGAAAAAGCUCCUGAUGAAAAUGAGAUUUAACAAGCGCGCACCCUGCUUGAUUACUUGCAACCUCCUCAAAAUUCAACACCCUUUUGCUUUGUUUUACCUUUGAAUGCAAAUAAUUUUUGGUUCAAAUCUGGAAUCAUAAGUUUACUUCCUAAUUUUCAUGGCUUAGAAGCAUGAAAUUCCUUACUUACAUCUUAAAUAUUUUGAAGAAGUAUGUGCCACCUUUAAAAAUCCACCUUGUGCUAUUGAAAUUGAUAAACUCAAAUUAUUUCCUUUUCCUUUAAAAGAUAAAGGUGAAAAUUUGGUUUAACAAUUUAAAACCAAGAUCAAUUGGUACUUGGCAAGAAAUGCAAACUGGAUUUUCAAAGAAUUUUUUUCCAACACAAAAGCACCAAUGCUUUUAAAAGACAGAUUCAAAAUUUCUUGCACAAUUCAAAUGAACCAUUUUUUCAAUGUUGGGAACGUUUCAAAGAUUUGUUAAGUUCAUGCCCACAUCAUGGUUUUGAAAAUUGGCAGACUUUCAGUUUCUUCUAUGAAGGUUUAAUUCCUGAAGCUAAACAAUUUGUUGAGAUAGUGUGUAACAGAGAGUUCCUUGAUAAAUAACCUGAAGAGGCCUUUGACUUCCUAGAGCAUUUGGCAGAAAAUUCACAACCUUGGCACAUAGUUAACCCUUCUGAAUAUUCCAUUAGAUCGAAUCUUGCUAAUAAUAAAGGAAAAUAUCACCUUAUUUUAGAAUAUGAUCUAAGUGCUAGUGUCAUGGGUUGCGCAUGGGAUCUCGCAACCAUGACGGAUUCGUGCGAUCCAUCGCAUACGAGGGAGGUCAUUUGGCCCAACUGGACUGGUCCAUUGCCUGGAGGAAUUAAAAGCCCAUCUCCGGAGCUUGGCAAAUAAGGAAAGUGAUCUUUUGAAGAUAUGCUUGGCAAAUAUGGAAGGUGAUCUUUUGAGAUAUGUGAUCCUAGAUAUUAAAUGAAAUCUUUAGAAGAUACGAUUAUGUAAUCUUAAAGAUUUGAUAUUGUGAUAGCUUUUAAUUGUAGCCAUUGAUGUAUUUUGAUUUAGACCGUUGAUUUUGGAGAGCCUCAACUAUAAAUAUAGGACUCUCUGCUCAUUGUAAAUUAUUGAGUUGUUAAUUGAAUCUUGAGAGUAUUCACUCAAACUUUUCUCUCAAAUGUUCUUACUUUCUGUUACUUUUGUUCAUCUUUCAAAGUCCGUUCUUACUUCGUUCUUCUGCUAUUCUUCGUGGUUGCCUUAAAGAAAAUUCUGUUGAAUCCAUAAUUUGUUGUGAGUUAGGCUGACUUAGGCGUUUGAGCAAAGAAACUGCCUAAGGCCGCACGGAUCGCGUGGGAAAACUCUAAGUCCGUGACAGUUGGUAUCCGAGCCAGUGUUUGUAGGUACCACUGAAAGAUGUCAAAAGAAGCUGCUGAGAAUGUUGAGGGAAUGGAGACCCGUGGGAGGGCUAGGAAAGCUAGUCGUUCGAGAGACAUACUGUCAGCUUUGGAGGAUCGAGUCAUCACUCUCGAGGAUUCCGUGGGAGACAUCAAUGAGAGGAUUGAUGAUGUCGAUGAUAGGCUCCAUGGUGGGUUGCAGUCCAUGCAGGAGCAACUCAAAGAGUAUGUGUUGGAUAAUGUUGAAAAACUGAAUGGCAGGGAUGAUGCCAUUGAGGCUAUGGUAACAGCCUUGAAAGAGGAGAUUGCGGAGCUCAAGGGUGAACUCACAAUCUACAAGGUUGCUUUAGGCAAUAGAGGGUUAGCUGCUUUAGCACCCAAGCCCAGUGUUGAUGUUCCCAAGAGAAAGGAGUUCAAGGGAACAAGGUCUACUAGAGAUGCGGACAACUUCCUUUGGGGAAUCGAGCAAUACUUCCGUGCCAAAGGCAUUAUGGAGGAUGCCACUAAGGUAACUACUGCUGCUAUGUAUCUCACUGACGUUGCUUUGUUGUGGUGGCGUCGUAGGUCCACUGAUGUGAGUCGUGGUAGGACUGAAAUUGGAACUUGGGAGGAGUUUCGAUGUGAGUUUAAAGCACAGUUUUACCCAGAGUAUGCCAAGGAUGAGGCUCGGGCAAAGUUGCGUCGGCUUACGCAACAAGGCACUGUGAGGGAGUAUGCGCAGCAAUUUAGCGAACUUAUGCUUCAAAUCUCAGAUAUGGGUGAGAAAGAAGCAUUCUUUUCCUUCAUGGAUGGGUUGAAACCAUGGGCAAAGCAAGAGUUGCAACGUCGAGGAGUCCAAGAGCUUACCAAGGCGAUGUCUUUGGCAGAAUCGCUUGCUGAAUUUGGUGGGAAGAAAGACAAUGCGAAUUCUUCUAAGCCCAGAUUCAAUCAAAAGGGUAAUAGUGGGGGAGAUAAAGAAAGCCCGCUAGGAAUGGCAACAGUAAGAAACCUUGGGACAAGAGAAAGAGUGGGCCUAUAAGUUGCUUUCACUGUGAUGGUCCACAUAUGAUCAGGAACUGCCCAAAGAAAGUCGCUCUCACGGCUAUGGAAACAAAUGGGGAGUCAAAUGUGGAGGACAACAAUAUCGGUUCAAUACUAGGGGGUGUCGAAGAUAGAACGAGUCAUGGAUUGAUGUUUGUGGACAUCAUUGUGGCCGGUAGAAAAUUGAAUGCGCUGGUUGACACUGGGGCGUCUGAUUUGUUCAUGUCUGAAGAGGCAGUUCGAAAACUUGGGCUCAAGGUAGAGAAUGAGCUGGGUCGGAUCAAAACAGUGAAUUCAGAAAGUGUCCCAAUCAAGGGUGUUGCCAAGGGAGUGGAUCUUCAACUAGGCGAUUGGGCCGGCAAGGUAUCCAUUAAGGUAAUACCACUCGAUGACUAUGAUUGUGUGAUUGGACUAAGUUUUCUUGAUCAGGUUAAGGCACUUAUUGCCCCUUCGAGUGAUUACAUGGUGAUUGCGGGUUCGAACCAUCCAUGCAUGGUAAGAAUGACAAAGAAGAGAAGCUUAGAGGGGAAAACACUGUCAGCAAUUCAAUUUGCUAAGUGAGUGCGCAGGGAUGAAGUCUCUUAUUUGGCUACCUUGAAGAUAGAGGAUACGGUUAAGUCCGUUAGUGAAAUCGCGAAAGAAGUGAGCCAAUUAUUGCAGUGCUUUUGGGAUGUGAUGCCUGCUCAGUUGCCAAAAAGUUUGCCACCAAAGAGAGAGGUGGACCACAAAAUUGAGUUAGUGUCCAACGUGGUGCCGCCAGCAAGGCCCCCUAUCAUAUUACUCCGCCAGAGUUAGAAGAAUUGUGAAAACAAUUGAAUGAGCUAUUGGAUGCAGGAUUUAUUAGACCAUCUAAAUCCCCAUACGGUGCGCCAGUGUUGUUUCAAAAGAAACAUGAUGGGUCCUUGAGAAUGUGCAUUGAUUAUCGGGCUCUAAACAAGAUCACUGUAAAGAACAAGUACCCUAUUCCUCUUAUUACAGAUUUGUUCGAGCAACUUGGUAGUGCAAAAUGGUUUACCAAGUUGGAUUUGAGAUCAGGGUACCAUCAAGUUCGAAUAGCCGACGGGGUGAACCAAAGACAGCUUGUGUGACACGAUAUGGUUCGUAUGAGUUCCUUGUGAUGCCUUUCGGACUCACGAAUGCCCCAGCUACCUUCUGCACCCUAAUGAAUAAGGUACUCCAACCUUUUCUUGAUCGUUUUGUGGUUGUUUAUCUUGAUGAUAUUGUGGUGUAUAGCAAGUCUCUCGAGGAGCACGUGGAACACUUGAGGGAGGUGUUCCAAACUUUGAGGGAAAAUGAGUUGUUUGUUAAGGAGGAGAAGUGCUCAUUUGCCCAACAAGAGGUAUCAUUCUUAGGCCACAUUGUGGGAGGGGGUAAGAUCCGAAUGAAUAAGAGCAAGGUUCGAGCCAUUUCCGAGUGGGAGCCCCCAACCAAGGUGACGGAGUUGAGAUCUUUUCUUGGGUUGGCAAAUUACUAUCGACGCUUUAUUAAAGGCUACUCGAGAAUUACCACACCCUUGACGGACAUGUUGAAAAAAGGGAAGGUAUGGGAUUGGAAUCCGGAAUGUAAGAGGGCCUUUAAUCAAUUGAAGCAAGAGAUGGCGAAGGAACCUGUGCUUGCCUUGCCAGAUUUUUUGAGGCCAUAUGAGGUAUGCACAGAUGCAUCAGAUUAUGCUAUCAGGGGAGUCCUAAUGCAAGAUGGACAUCCUAUUGCUUUCGAGAUUCGAAAGCUUAAUGAGACGGAGUGAAGAUAUACGGUCCAAGAGAAGGAGAUGACUGCGGUGGUGCAUUGCUUGCGCACUUGGAGACAUUAUUUAUUAGGUUCCAGGUUUGUUGUCCUUACCGAUAAUGUUGCCAACAGUUAUUUUCUAACCCAGAAAAAUUUGUCUCCCAAACAGGCUUGUUGGCAUGUUUUCUUAGCUGAAUUUGACUUUACCAUGGAGUAUAAGCCGGGGAGUGCCAACAUUGUGGCUGACGCACUGAGUCGAAAGAUGGAAUUUGCGACAAUUAGCCAACCUGAUGGUUCCUUAUUGGAACGUAUUCGAGAAGGAUUGUCCCAUGAUCCCACAGCCAAAAAUCUGACGGAGUUGGCCAAGGAGGGAAAAACUAGAAGAUUUUGGCUUGAUGGAGAGCUGCUAUACACCCAGGGGCGUCGCCUCUAUGUGCCUCAUUAUGGGAAGCUACGUAAGGAAGUCAUGAAAGAGUGCCAUGACUCGAGAUGGGCGGGCCACCCAGGGAUGCACCGUACUUUGGCCCUUUUGGAAGAACGUUAUUAUUGGCCUCACACGGGUGAUGAUGUGGAAACUUAUGUGAAGACUUGUCUGGUUUGCCAACAAGACAAGGUUGAGUAAAAGACCCCAGCUGGUUUGCUUCAACCCUUGCCCAUUCCGGAAAGACCAUGGGAAAGUUUAUCCAUGGAUUUUAUUGUUGGUUUACUUAAGUCUGACGGGUUUGCGAGUAUUCUUGUUGUGGUGGACAGGUUCUCGAAGUAUGCGACGUUCAUUCCGGCCACCAAGGAAUGUCCUGCUAAGGAGGCAGCUCGUUUAUUCCUUAGAAAUGUGGUAAAAUAUUGGGGCGUGCCACAGUCUAUUGUCAGUGAUCGUGAUGGGCGAUUUAUAGGUCGGUUUUGGACCGAGUUGUUCAAGUCAAUGGGCUCAGACUUGAACUUUUCCAUGAGUAUGCAUCCGCAAACCAAUGGGCAAACUGAGAGAGUAAAUGCAUUGUUAGAAACAUAUCUGCGACACUAUGUGAGUGCCACACAAAGGGAUUGGCCAAAGUUAUUGGAUGUGGCUCAAUUCUCAUAUAACUUGCAGCGAAGUGGGGCAACGAACCAAAGUCCGUUUGAGAUAGUGACGGGCCAACAGCCACUCACACCCAAUGCUGUGGUAACCCGUUAUACAGGACCAAAUCCAGUAGCUUAUCGUUUUGCGAAGGAUUGGCAAGAGAAGAAUGACUUGGCUAGGGCUUGUUUACACAAGGAAAGCAAGCGCAAUAAGAAGUGGGCCGAUCAGAACCGAAGAGACGUGCAAUUUCAAGUGGGUGACUCAGUCCUUGCCAAACUACAAUUGAUGUUGUGAUAUACGGGCUUGCACAAAGGGCUCGUGCGAAGGUAUGAGGGGCCGUUUAAAGUUGUGAAGAGAAUGGGCAAAGUGGCAUACAAGCUUGAGUUGCCUCCAAAACUUAAAAUCCGCCCAUUGUUCCAUGUAAGUAUGCUUAAGCCAUUUCAUUGGGACUAAGAAGAUCUGAAUCGGGGCAUGUCUAAAUGAGCACCAAUGGGGGUAAAGGUCUCUUACGACCGCGACGUGGAAACCAUUGAGGCAGACCGUGUGAUUAGACAAAAGUACCAUCGACCGCGUCAUGAAUACUUAGUUCGAUGGAAAGGACUUCCUGAUAGCGAAGCAAGUUGGGAACCUGCUGAGGCAUUGUGGCAAUUUCAAGGAAAGAUUGACCAGUUCCAUGAGGAGGACGCGACGAGGGCGUCGCUAGAACAAGUGGAGGAGAAUGCAUGGGUUGCGCAUGGGAUCUCGCAACCAUGACGGAUUCAUACGAUCCAUCGCAUUCGAGGGAGGUCAUUUGGCCCAAUUGGACUGGUCCAUUGCCUGAAGGAAUUAAAAGCCCAUCUCCGGAGCUUGGCAAAUAAAGAAAGUGAUCUUUUGAAGAUAUGCUUGGCAAAUAUGGAAAGUGAUCUUUUGAGAUAUGUGAUCCUAGAUAUUAAAUGAAAUCUUUAGAAGAUACGAUUAUGUAAUCUCAGAGAUUUGAUAUUGUGAUAACUUUUAAUUGUAGCCAUUGAUGUAUUUUGAUUUAGACCGUUGAUUUUGGAGAGCCUCAACUAUAAAUAGAGGACUCUCUGCUCAUUGUAAAUUAUUGAGUUGUUAAUUGAAUCUUGAGAGUAUUCACUCAAACUUUUCUCUCAAGUGUUCUUACUUUUUGUUGCUUUUGUUUAUCUUUCAAAGUCCGUUCUUACUUCGUUCUUCUACUAUUCUUCGUGGUUGCCUUAAAAAAAAUUUUGUUGAAUCCAUAAUUUGUUGUGAGUUAGGCUGACUUAGGCGUUUGAGCAAAGAAACUGCCUAAGGCCGCAUGGAUCGCGUGGGAAAACUCUAAGUCCGUGACACUAGGAUGACUAGUUUAACUAGAAAGGUUUAAGCCAUGGAGUUUAGGAAAGUACAAGAAAUUAAACCAGGAAAAACUGAAGAAAUUUGUGGUAUUUGUGAAAUCAUGGGACAUUCUUCUAUGGAAUGCCCAAACAUUUCACUUUUCAAAGAAAUGUUGCAUGAACAAGAAAAUGUUGUGGAAACAUUCAGAAAACCCUUUCAUUCUCCAUACUCAAGCAUUUACAACCCUCAAUGGAGAAACCACCCUAACUUCAGAUGGCAGGAUAAUAAUCGUGCUCAUUUCCCCCAUUCUCCAAAACCUCCUAACACUCUGACCCAACCAUCUUCACAUGUUAAAAGUUUAGAGGAUACAUUGUAAGAAUUCAUGCAGACACAAACAAAUGUCAACAAUCAGACUUCACAAGGUAUCAAUGAAAUCAAGAGCACCCUUUCUAUGUUGACAGCCUCAAUGCGCAUUCAAGAAAAAGGUAAGUUUCUUGCUCAACCUCAACCUAAUCCUUCUACUCAAUGUCAUAUUUCUUGUCCUAGAGAAAUCCAAAAAGAAUAUGUGAAUUCUAUCACAACUCUUCAAAGUAGUAAGGCCAUCGACAAGAGUAUUUCUUCCAAAGCCCAAGAGCCCUCUCUCAGUUUGCUAAGUAGUGGUAAGGAUGAUUACAAGCCUAAAAGUUCUAACAACUUAGACAAGGAAAAUAUGGGGUUUCUGCUCCUUUCCCUCCAAGAUUACAACCAAUAAGGAAUUUGAAUCAAAAUGCUAAAAUUUUAGAAAUUUUCAAGCAAGUCAAGAUUAAUUUCCUUUAUUGGAUGUGAUUAAACAAGUGUCGUCUUAUGAUAAGUUUUUGAAAGAUAUGUGCACAGUGAAAAGGAAACAUAAUGUGCAAAAGAGAGCCUUUUUAACUGAACAUGUGAGUUAAAUCAUUCAGCAUAUCACUCCACCUAAAUACAAAGAUCAUAGUUGCCCUACAAUUUCAUGCAUCAUUGGGAACACUGUAAUAGAUCGUGUUUCGCUUGAACUUGGUGCUAUUGUUAAUCUUUUGUCUUUCUCUGUUUAUCAGCAAUUAGAUUUAGGUGAACUUAAACAAACAUCUAUCACAUUUCAGUUAGCUUAUCGAUUUUUCAAAAUUCCUCGAGGGAUAGUAGAAAGUGUGUUGGUUUAAAUUUACAAUUUUUAUUUUCCAAUUGAUUUUAUUAUUUUGGACACGCAUCCUGUCUUAGAUUCUACUUUACAAAUCCCUAUUAUUUUAGGUUGUCUAUUCCUUGCAACUUCAACUACUUUGAUUAAUUGCAAGAACAGUGUUCUAAACUUGUAUUUUGGAAACAUGACAUUAGAAUUAAAUGUGUUUAACAUUUGUAAUCAACCUGCUAAAGAUUCUGAUGUACAUGAAGUGGAAUUCAUUGAAUAACUUGUCCUUGAACAAUUCAUCAAUUCCAAACUAUUCAAUCCUUUGGAAAAUUAUUUAACUGAAUUUGAAAUUGAUGACGAAACAAAAAAAAUCCAUGCAUUAAUCCUGUCUUAAACAAUUUUCAAGGACAAGAUAAGAAAUUUUAUUAGAAACAAAAGUUUGAGGAACAUCCAACAACUAAAGAUGUUUUAACACAUUAGUUGAUCAACCACCCAUGCUUGAUUUGAAACAACUACCAUGUGAUCUGAAAUAUUCAUUUUUGGGUGAGAAUGAAACUUUUCCAGUCAUAAUUUCCUCAAAACUUGAUGCACACCAAGAAGGUAAGCUACUGAAAUUUUGAAAAUGCAUAAAAAUGCAUUAGGAUGGACCAACAUAGCUAACAUAAAAGAAAUUAACCCUCUGAUUUGCACACAUAACAUUUAUUUAGAGGAAAAUGCUAAACCCUCUAGAAAAAUGCAACUAAUUCUUAAUCCUAAUAUGAAAUAAGCGGUGAGAAACGAAGUCAUUAAACUCUUGGAUAAUAGAAUCAUUUAUCCUAUUUUUUACAGCAAAUGGGUAAAUCCUACCCAAGUUGUACCCAAAAAAUAUGGGGUUACUGUAGUCAAAACUGAAAAUAAUGAAUUGAUCCCAACUAGGACUAUUAUUGGUUGACGCAUAUGCAUUGAUUAUAGGAAACUUAAUUUAGUGACCAGAAAAAAUCAUUUCCUUUUACCUUUCAUGGAUAAUAUCUUAGAAAUAGUUGCGGGGCAUGAAUUUUAUUUUUUUCUAGAUGGAUAUUUUGGGUAUAAGAAAAUUACAAUUUCACUUGAGGAUCAAGAGAAAACCACUUUUACAUGUCUUUUUGGCACUUUUUCACAUCGAAGUUUGCCUUUUCGAUUAUGUAAUGCACCAGCCAUGUUUCAGAGAUACAUGUUUAGUAUUUUUAGUGGUAUGGUUGAACGCAUUUUAGAAGUCUUCAUGGAUGAUUUUUCUUGUUUGGUGAUUCAUUAAAUGAUUGCUUAUCUAAUUUAGAAAAGGUUUUAAUUAGAUGUAAAGAAAAAAAUUUUGUUCUUAAUUAGGGAAAAUGUCAUUUCAUUAUCACUAAAGGAAUUGUUUUAGGACACAUAGUUUCUUCAAAAGGGAUUCAGGUAGACAAGUCAACAUUUGACUUUGUGUAAUCUCUUAUUAAAGGAUAGUGUGUUUGGAUGGACUGAAAAGUGUGAAAUGACUUUUGGAAAACUUAAAAGUAUGCUUACUUCUGCUUCUAUUAUGAAACCUCAGAUUGGACUUUACCAUUUGAAGUAAUGUGUGAUUCUAGUGAUUACGUUCUUAGUGUUGUGUUAGGAUAAAGGAAACAUAAGAAAACAUAUGUCAUUUGUUAUGCAAGUAAAACUUUAAAUAGUGCUCAAAUGAAUUAUGCUACUACUAAAAAAUAAUUACUUGUAGUAGUUUUUGCAUUGGAAAAAUUCAGAUCUUACCUUGUUGGAUCAUCUAUUGUUGUCUUUAGUGAUCAUGCAACUUUAAAA
Molecule: long non-coding RNA, 12969 nt
Filed under: Gossypium raimondii (Peruvian cotton)
Lineage: Eukaryota; Viridiplantae; Streptophyta; Magnoliopsida; Malvales; Malvaceae
Description: long non-coding RNA (GRAI_LNC004681)
Source: RNAcentral